UACGGAGGGCGCAAGCGUUUUUCGGAAUCAUUGGGCGUAAAGCGCGUGUAGGCGGUCUGGUCAGUCGGGUGUGAAAUACCGGAGCUCAACUCCGGAACUGCAUUCGAUACUGCCAGGCUAGAGUCCCGGAGAGGGUGGUGGAAUUCCCGGUGUAGAGGUGAAAUUCGUAGAUAUCGGGAGGAACACCAGCGGCGAAGGCGGCCACCUGGACGGUGACUGACGCUGAGAAGCGAAGGCGUGCGGAGCAAACAGG
This 253-nucleotide ribosomal RNA is filed under the name uncultured bacterium. RNAcentral's name for it is "partial 16S ribosomal RNA". It matches the Rfam family "Bacterial small subunit ribosomal RNA", at positions 524 to 776 of the family's 1533-position model. The record is from RNAcentral.